CCAAUCGAACUCGGAGAUAGCUGGUUCUCCCCGAAAUAGCUUUAGGGCUAGCCUCGAUUUAGAUUCAUGGGGGUAGAGCACUGAAUGGGCUAGGGGGCCACAAAGCUUACCGAACCCUAUCAAACUACGAAUACCAAGGAAUCGAUGAUCGGGAGUCAGACAGUGAGAGAUAAGUUCCAUUGUCGAGAGGGAAACAGCCCAGACCUACGACUAAGGUCCCAAAGUACACGUUAAGUGGAAAAGGAUGUGCAGUUGCACAGACAACCAGGAUGUUGGCUUAGAAGCAGCCAUACAUUUAAAGAGUGCGUAAUAGCUCACUGGUCGAGUGAAUGUGCGCCGAAAAUGUACCGGGGCUAAACGUGACACCGAAGUCUAGGGAUCAGAAAUGAUCGGUAGGGGAGCAACGUAUACGGGAAGAAGCGUAAGCGGAAGCGAGCGUGGACUGUAUGGGAGAGAGAAUGCCGGCAUGAGUAGCGAGAGCAAAGUGAGAAUCUUUGCCGUCGAAAGCCUAAGGUUUCCUGAGGUAGGCUCGUCCACUCAGGGUAAGUCGGGACCUAAGCCGAGGACAGAAGUCGUAGGCGAUGGAGAUCAGGUUGAUAUUCCUGAACCGUCUUUAGCGUUUGACAGAAGCAGUGACACAGAAGGAUAGACAGAGCGGAGGAAUGGAAGACUCCGUCCAAGCGUUGAGGCCGUAACGUAGUGAAGUACGCGUUGCAAGGCUGGGGCGUGAAGGGGACCGAAAAUAAGUAGGGAAGCUGUUGAAUUCACGCUGGCGAGAAAAGCUGCUAUGGAGCGAAAAGGCGCCCGUACCGCAAACCGACACAGGUAGGCGAGGAGAGAAUCCUAAGACGAGCGGGAGAACCCUUGUUAAGGAACUCGGCAAAAUGACCCCGUAACUUCGGGAGAAGGGGUGCCUCGAGAGAGGCCGCAGAGAAUAGGCCCAAGCGACUGUUUACCAAAAACACAGGUCUGUGCGAAGUAGAGAUACGACGUAUACGGGCUGACGCCUGCCCAGUGCCGGAAGGUUAAGGGGAAGUGUCAGGGGGAGACCCCGAAGCACGGAACUUAAGCCCCGGUGAACGGCGGCCGUAACUAUAACGGUCCUAAGGUAGCGAAAUUCCUUGUCGGGUAAGUUCCGACCCGCACGAAUGGCGUAACGACUUGGGCACUGUCUCAACAAGGGACCCGGCGAAAUUGUAGUAUGUGUGAAGAUGCACAUUACCCGCGAUAGGACGGAAAGACCCCGUAGAGCUUUACUGUAGUUUAAUAUUGGAUUUUGAUAACAUAUGUACAGGAUAGGUGGGAGACGGAGAAAUGAGGACGCCAGUCUUCAUGGAGUCAACCUUGGGAUACCACUCUUGUGUUAUUGGAAUUCUAACGAGAUGCCGUGAACCGGGUUUCGGACAGUGUUAGAUGGGCAGUUUGACUGGGGCGGUCGCCUCCGAAAGAGUAACGGAGGCGUCCAAAGGUUCCCUCAGAAUGGUUGGAAACCAUUCGCAGAGUGCAAAGGCAGAAGGGAGCUUGACUGCGAGACCGACAGGUCGAGCAGGUACGAAAGUAGGGCUUAGUGAUCCGGCGGUAUGAGAGUGGAAUUGCCGUCGCUCAACGGAUAAAAGCUACCUCGGGGAUAACAGGCUUAUCUCCCCCAAGAGUUCACAUCGACGGGGAGGUUUGGCACCUCGAUGUCGGCUCGUCGCAUCCUGGGGCUGUAGUCGGUCCCAAGGGUUGG
RNAcentral lists this ribosomal RNA (1729 nucleotides) under human gut metagenome. Its description in RNAcentral is "bacterial LSU rRNA". It matches the Rfam family "Bacterial large subunit ribosomal RNA", at positions 829 to 2575 of the family's 2925-position model. The record is from RNAcentral.